UACGUAGGGACCAAGCGUUGUUCGGAUUUACUGGGCGUAAAGCGCACGCAGGCGGUCUCUUAAGUUGCGAGUGACAGGUGGUGGCUCAACUGCCACAGGCCUUGGAAAACUGGGAGACUUGAGGGCUUCAGAGGGAUGCGGAAUUCCAGGUGGAGCGGUGAAAUGCGUAGAGAUCUGGAAGAACACCAAAGGCGAAGGCAGCAUCCUGGGAAGUCACUGACGCUCAAGUGCGAAAGCCAGGGGAGCGAACGGG
This 253-nucleotide ribosomal RNA is filed under the name uncultured bacterium. Its description in RNAcentral is "partial 16S ribosomal RNA". It matches the Rfam family "Bacterial small subunit ribosomal RNA", at positions 524 to 776 of the family's 1533-position model. The record is from RNAcentral.